GUCUCUGUAGCGCAAUAGAUAGCGCGUUGAACGUCUAAUCCGAUGAUCGUGGGUUGGAAUCCCACCAUGGAUG
Trichonephila clavipes is the source of this 73-nucleotide non-coding RNA. The record is from the annotation of a GenBank genome assembly. Lineage: Eukaryota; Metazoa; Arthropoda; Arachnida; Araneae; Nephilidae.